RNAcentral lists this long non-coding RNA (4892 nucleotides) under Lactuca sativa (garden lettuce). RNAcentral's name for it is "long non-coding RNA (LSAT_LNC002686)". Lineage: Eukaryota; Viridiplantae; Streptophyta; Magnoliopsida; Asterales; Asteraceae. The record is from RNAcentral.
GCCAAUUCCCUCUCGUUUUCGUGUCGAAGCUCUGUGCAAAAACCCCCGAAGCUACCCCGAAGUCCCGGUAUCAUACUCUAGCCCCGAGGCAAGUCCCGAGAUCCCGAAGAUCCCGAGAAGUGCGGUUCCCGAGUCGAAGCUCUGCCCGCGAGAAGUUCGAUUUUCGAGGAGAUCUUCCAGAUCUGCUGAGGAAUACUACUUCUAUAAGCCGUAGUGCUGUCGGAUCAUCUUCUGAUCAAGUGAGUGUAUACUAACUUUCUUAAACACAAUAAUAAUACGAGUUUGGUUCGAGUGUAUUAAUUAUAUUGUUGUUUAUAAGUGUGAGUGUGUAGUUAUUUUCUUUCUAAUACAAUAAUACGAAGUAUUUUAUAUAAAAAUACGUGCUAUGUGUAUAUAUUUGGUUGUGUUAUGUGUGAAUGAGUAUUCACUCUCUUCUAUCUUAUAGAUCUGCUUAUUUCUUUAUGAGAUAUGUGUUAUGUGUGUGUGUGCCUCAUCUGUUAUGUGAUAUAUGUGUUGAUUAAAGCAUGCUAUACAGGUUUUCUUUAAACUAUGUAUACAAAUGUAUAUUUUUAUCUACUAAUAUGUUGGGUAGAACAUGGGUAGACAGUUGGUGUGUAAUAAACAGAUGAGAGGCCUCGUUGUUGUUUGAUUGAGUCAUCUAGCGGAGUUUAGAUGACGACCACUGGCUAUUCUAGACAGUCUUGUGGAAACAUUAGCAGGUUCGCCACCUGUAGGUGUUAAUGAACUUGGGUGUUCAUUCGCUGUACUCCAUCCCCCUCAUGGUUGCCUUAUUUGACUUAUAUUGCUGAGGUACCCCCGAAGCAUGUGUUGUCGCCCCGAUGAAAUAUUCUUAGACUAGGUCCCUUAUGUUAGUUGUUUUAGGGACAUUAAAGUGAGAAUAACGGGAAUGGGUAAUUGGGUUAUUGUUGGUUGGUGAAAAUUAAAUAUGAUAUUUAUUGUGGGUUGAAAACCCUAUAUGCUCACCAGGCUCCCAAGCCUGACCCACUCAGUUUUAAAUUGUAUUACAGGUAGUGGCGGAAGGGCAUGAGAUGGAUGAACCAUCAAGUUGUUUUGUUUACAAGUCUGCAUAUGUUUAUAUUUGUUAUAUGACUUGUAAUGUAUUCGUUUAUGCUUAUUGGUCUGUAUCGGAACAUGACACCCCGAGUUUUGAUUAUAAUGAAAAUACAUUUCUUUUAUGAAAUGCUUCGGUAAACAAUGUUUUAUCAUGUUUUGUUUUUGGGAACAAAUUCCGCAACUCUUUCAAAUCAAAAGGAUUUACUCUGAAAAUAUUUAAAAGCAUAAAUGAAAAUCGGUCUUUUCUGGCCGAGAUUUUGGGGAUGUCACAGUUGGUAUCAGAGCAUUAGUUUAAGCGAACUAGGAAUUUGUAGGAUUUCUAGACUUAAACUUAGAAUGCUAAGUGAAGUUUUGAGAUGUGUGUCUGUUGUGAUUUAGACACGAGCACUAGUUUAUUUUAGGAAAGUUGCCUAAAAUGCUUUAUGUGCUAAAUGUUAUAUGUUGCCAUAUAUGAUAUUAUUUGUUCGGAUCUAUGGUCUGUUGCCGACCGGAUCUAGAAACCUUAUGUGUGUAGGAUUCUAAGCGUACGUCUACGAUAUUAGAACUAGCAUGUAAACGUUUCGGAGUGAUAAGGAUGAUUUGAAUAUCUAUCAUGAUUGAGGAUCUAAUUUCACCUUAUUCGGUGUAGAUCAAAAUGGUGAGAACAAGAAGUGGAGUUGGAAAUGCUGACGAAAACAGGAAUCAACCACCAGUGAUUGAGCCAAUACCUGUCGUAGCAGCAGCACCUGAGCCAAUAACCAUGGCUGGUGUGCAAUUGAUGAUUCAGACGAUGUUGGAUCGUCAGAUGGAUGAAACUAGACGGUUGCUUCAACAAAAUCGUGAAGAACUGUCGAUUCGUGUGGAAGAGCCUGAACUGAAUGAAGGGCACUCGGAAGGUGGAAACUUCAGUGGGUCUGUUGGUCCAGCCAACCCACCGAUAGUUAGGCAAGAUAACCAUGAUGGAAGGAAUGAUGGAAUGGGAUGCAAGUACAAGGACUUUUUGACUUGUAAACCAUCGACCUUCAAUGGAAAGGAGGAUCCGAUUGGGGUUAUGGAUUGGAUCUCCGAAAUGGAGUUAGCCUUUAUGACAUGUGGCUGUAGAGGCAAGUUGCAGACUAUCUAUGCCGUGCGACAAUUCCGAGGUGGAGCCGUUCGUUGGUGGAACACUCUAGGGAAGACCUUAAGCCCUAAUGAGCCACUGCAAUUGUCAUGGGCAGAGUUCUUGGUGCAGUUCAAGCGCAAGUUCUGCUCGGCUCAAAAUCUGUUGGAGUUGGAGAACAAGUUUUUGACAUUGACGAAGGGUAGCAUGUCAGUGGAUGAGUACACCAAUAACUUCACCGAUAAGAUGGAGUUUGCCUUGCGUAUCGUUCCAGACGAGCUGACAAAGGUGGAUCGGUAUGCGAAGGGACUUCCAUGGGAGUACGAGGUGCCGGUACGUCAGGCACUUACUCUAGAGGCAGCUAUCUGGGCUGCCAAGUCUGUGGAGAACAUGAUCAAGGGGAGAACCACCGUCAAGGUUGAGGUUGGUGAGAAAAGGAAGUUUGAAGGAACAUCUGGUUCCAGUAAGAAGAGCAAAUUUUCGAAAUCUGAUUCGAAAAAGUUUGGAGGAAAAGGAGGCGAAGCAAAGUGGUGUGAUAAGUGUAAGAAAAAGCACUUUGGGAAAUGUAGCGAGGAUGUGACCUGCUACAAGUGUGGAAAGGUUGGACAUUUUGCCAAUGAAUGUCCGAACAACAAAAGGAUGUGUUUUGGGUGUAAUGAAGAGGGGCAUAUUUUGAAAGACUGUCCGAAGAAGAAGGAGGCAGCUAGGCCCAACAUUCCACCAAAGCCGAAGGCGAGAGCCUUCCAGAUGACACUUGAGGCUGCGAAAGAUGAAGCUGAUGUCGCUUCAGGUACCUUUCUCGUAAACGAAUUACCUGCUCAUAUAUUGUUUGAUUCUGGAGCCAACUACUCCUUUAUUUCGCAUGAGUUUGGUAGAAAGCUAGCUUUGCCUGUUGAUAGACUAGAUAAUGCUUUAUUAGUCGAAGUAGCUAGUGGCAAGUUUGUACCUGUUAGCCAUCGUAUGAAAAACGUCUUGAUCGACCUUAAUGGGAAUAAGUUUCUCGAGGAAUUAUUGCCUAUCGAACUAAAUGGUUUCGACAUCGUCUUGGGAAUGGAUUGGCUUAGCGCCAAUGAUGCCGAAAUUUUGUGCAAGAAGAAGAUAGUUAAAGUAAACCCGCCUGGGAAAGAUUCGUUUAUGGUGUAUGGGGACAAACGCAGAGUGAAUUCUGGAAUCAUUUCUCUAAUGAAAGCCAGAAAGUGUUUGACCAAGGGAUGUACAUCAUAUUUAGCAUUCGUGAUUGAUGCUAAGAAAGAAAAGAAGGUGAUGCAGAGCAUUCCAGUGGUGUGUGAUUAUCCGGAAGUAUUUCCCGAGGAUCUUCCUGGAUUACCACCUGAUAGACAAGUGGAGUUCAGAAUAGACUUGUUACCAGGAACCACGCCAAUAGCAAAAGCACCUUAUCGAUUAGCACCGACGGAGAUGAAGGAGCUGAUGAUGCAACUUCAGGAGUUAUUGGACAAAGGUUUCAUUAGACCUAGUUCAUCGCCCUGGGGAGCUCCGGUGUUAUUUGUAAAGAAGAAAGAUGGAAGUAUGAGAAUGUGCAUCGAUUACAGAGAGCUGAACAAGGCAACAAUAAAGAAUAGAUAUCCGUUGCCGAGGAUUGAUGACCUGUUUGAUCAAUUGCAAGGUUCGAGCUAUUUCUCGAAGAUCGAUCUUAGGUCAGGAUAUCAUCAGCUGAAAGUAAGAGAGCAAGAUAUCGAGAAGACUGCAUUCAGAACUAGAUAUGGACACUACGAGUUCUUGGUUAUGUCGUUUGGACUAACCAAUGCUCCAGCAGCGUUCAUGGAUUUGAUGAAUAGGGUUUGUAAUCCUUUCCUUGAUAAAUCCGUGAUAGUGUUCAUAGACGACAUUCUGAUCUACUCGAAAAGCCAGGAGGAGCAUGGCAGACACUUGCGAGAAGUGUUAGAAGUUUUGAAGAAGGAGAAGCUUUAUGCGAAGUUCUCCAAAUGUGAUUUUUGGAUUCGUGAGGUCCAAUUCUUGGGUCACGUGGUCAACCAAGAAGGGAUAAUGGUUGAUCCAGCGAAGAUCGAAGCUGUGACGAAGUGGGAACAACCGAAAAGUCCCACGGAGAUUCGAAGCUUUUUANUAACGGGAAUGGGUAAUUGGGUUAUUGUUGGUUGGUGAAAAUUAAAUAUGAUAUUUAUUGUGGGUUGAAAACCCUAUAUGCUCACCAGGCUCCCAAGCCUGACCCACUCAGUUUUAAAUUGUAUUACAGGUAGUGGCGGAAGGGCAUGAGAUGGAUGAACCAUCAAGUUGUUUUGUUUACAAGUCUGCAUAUGUUUAUAUUUUUUAUAUGACUUGUAAUGUAUUCGUUUAUGCUUAUUGGUCUGUAUCGGAACAUGACACCCCGAGUUUUGAUUAUAAUGAAAAUACAUUUCUUUUAUGAAAUGCUUCGGUAAACAAUGUUUUAUCAUGUUUUGUUUUUGGGAACAAAUUCCGCAACUCUUUCAAAUCAAAAGGAUUUACUCUGAAAAUAUUUAAAAGCAUAAAUGAAAAUCGGUCUUUUCUGGCCGAGAUUUUGGGGAUGUCACAACGCGCCUUCCACUUCGCAUGCAUGGUCCUUCCUUUUCAACUUUUUCCAUUAGGGACCAUUAAUGCCAAUAACUUCCAAGUGUCAUAUCUUCUGUAACACAAAAAUUCUAUUCUUUCUAAAACUACAUUAUAUUUCUGAAAGAACCAAACUUUCAUACUUCACAAUAUUUGUACUCCAAAACAUGCUACAUGCAUAUUUAUAAAUAUAUUA